This 1033-nucleotide ribosomal RNA is filed under the name human gut metagenome. RNAcentral describes it as "bacterial SSU rRNA". It matches the Rfam family "Bacterial small subunit ribosomal RNA", at positions 484 to 1520 of the family's 1533-position model. The record is from RNAcentral.
GAAUAAGCCACGGCUAACUACGUGCCAGCAGCCGCGGUAAUACGUAGGUGGCAAGCGUUGUCCGGAUUUACUGGGUGUAAAGGGCGUGCAGCCGGGCAUGCAAGUCAGAUGUGAAAUCUCAGGGCUUAACCCUGAAACUGCAUUUGAAACUGUAUGUCUUGAGUGCCGGAGAGGUAAUCGGAAUUCCUUGUGUAGCGGUGAAAUGCGUAGAUAUAAGGAAGAACACCAGUGGCGAAGGCGGAUUACUGGACGGUAACUGACGGUGAGGCGCGAAAGCGUGGGGAGCGAACAGGAUUAGAUACCCUGGUAGUCCACGCUGUAAACGAUGGAUACUAGGUGUGCGGGGACUGACCCCCUGCGUGCCGCAGUUAACACAAUAAGUAUCCCACCUGGGGAGUACGAUCGCAAGGUUGAAACUCAAAGGAAUUGACGGGGGCCCGCACAAGCGGUGGAUUAUGUGGUUUAAUUCGAAGCAACGCGAAGAACCUUACCAGGUCUUGACAUCCUGCUAACGAAGUAGAGAUACAUUAGGUGCCCUUCGGGGAAAGCAGAGACAGGUGGUGCAUGGUUGUCGUCAGCUCGUGUCGUGAGAUGUUGGGUUAAGUCCCGCAACGAGCGCAACCCCUAUUGUUAGUUGCUACGCAAGAGCACUCUAGCGAGACUGCCGUUGACAAAACGGAGGAAGGUGGGGACGACGUCAAAUCAUCAUGCCCCUUAUGACCUGGGCUACACACGUAAUACAAUGGCGGUCAACAAAGGGAUGCGAAGCCGCGAGGCAGAGCGAACCCCAAAAAGCCGUCCCAGUUCGGAUCGCAGGCUGCAACCCGCCUGCGUGAAGUCGGAAUCGCUAGUAAUCGUGGGUCAGCAUACCACGGUGAAUACGUUCCCGGGCCUUGUACACACCGCCCGUCACACCAUGAGAGUCGGGAACACCCGAAGUCCGUAGCCUAACCGCAAGGAGGGCGCGGCCGAAGGUGGGUUCGAUAAUUGGGGUGAAGUCGUAACAAGGUAGCCGUUCGAGAACGAGCGGCUG